AUGAAUGGAUAGAUAAGAAAGACGAAAGAAAGACAAAUGGUGCAAAAAAAAUUCACGAAAUUUCGUCCCUCCUUCAGCUUCUCUUCUUUGCCGUUUUUCAUUCUCUCUUUGUCUCUCACUUCCU
RNAcentral lists this non-coding RNA (124 nucleotides) under Chromera velia. Lineage: Eukaryota; Chromeraceae. The record is from RNAcentral.